Molecule: long non-coding RNA, 455 nt
Filed under: Elaeis guineensis (African oil palm)
Lineage: Eukaryota; Viridiplantae; Streptophyta; Magnoliopsida; Arecales; Arecaceae
Description: long non-coding RNA (EGUI_LNC028033)
Source: RNAcentral
UGCUGCUUAAUAAUUUUCCAUAGCUCAUACUCUGACCUUAAGACAAUAUUAUCUAAAAUUAAUUUCAAAUAACUAUUAAUGGGAAGUAUUUAAAGUAGUGCAUGUGUUAACUAGGCUACUAAAAAUUUUUUCACCACAAAUUUUAAAACAUAAUGCUGGCAUUAAGCCCUAACACUAACAAAAAUCUGAUGGCUAACAUUCACGAACUUUUGUAGACUGUAAUUUAUAAAAUUUACUAUGUGGUGUAUACAACAUGAAAUCAUAGAGGCACCAAUGAAAAUAUGAUAGCUAAGGUUAACACACUCUCUUCUACAUACAAAUAGGUUGUACUCUCAUCUGCAUACAAAUGAGUUGAUUUAUGUCAAAUACUUAAAUGAAUUAUUCUACAUAUAAAUACAUGUACUCUCUUUUGCAUAGAGGGAUUAUUAGCAAAUAUUUGCAUAUGUUCAUCAAUC